UACGUAGGGGGCAAGCGUUGUCCGGAAUCAUUGGGCGUAAAGAGCGUGUAGGCGGUCCGAUAAGUCCGAUCUGAAAGCCCGGGGCUCAACCCCGGGAGGCGGGCGGAUACUGUCGGGCUAGAGUCCGGAAGAGGCAAGUGGAAUUCCUGGUGUAGCGGUGAAAUGCGCAGAUAUCAGGAGGAAUACCGAUGGCGAAGGCAGCUUGCUGGGACGGUACUGACGCUGAGACGCGAAAGCGUGGGUAGCAAACAGG
Molecule: ribosomal RNA, 253 nt
Filed under: uncultured bacterium
Lineage: Bacteria
Description: partial 16S ribosomal RNA
Rfam family: Bacterial small subunit ribosomal RNA
Source: RNAcentral